RNAcentral lists this ribosomal RNA (183 nucleotides) under Wunderlichia mirabilis. Its description in RNAcentral is "5.8S ribosomal RNA". The stretch from base 1 to 155 matches the Rfam family "5.8S ribosomal RNA". From Rfam's summary of the family: 5.8S ribosomal RNA (5.8S rRNA) is a component of the large subunit of the eukaryotic ribosome. The record is from RNAcentral. Lineage: Eukaryota; Viridiplantae; Streptophyta; Magnoliopsida; Asterales; Asteraceae.
ACUCUCGGCAACGGAUAUCUCGGCUCACGCAUCGAUGAAGAACGUAGCAAAAUGCGAUACUUGGUGUGAAUUGCAGAAUCCCGUGAACCAUCGAGUUUUUGAACGCAAGUUGCGCCCGAAGCCAUUYGGCCGAGGGCACGUCUGCCUGGGCGUCACGCAUCGCGUCGCCUCCGACAACACGCG